Molecule: ribosomal RNA, 420 nt
Filed under: uncultured bacterium
Lineage: Bacteria
Description: partial 16S ribosomal RNA
Rfam family: Bacterial small subunit ribosomal RNA
Source: RNAcentral
AUAUUGUACUAUGGGCGAAAGCCUGAUCCAGCCAUGCCGCGUGUGUGAAGAAGGUCUUCGGAUUGUAAAGCACUUUCAGUUGGGGGGAAGGGCAGUAAGUUAAUACCUUGCUGUUUUGACGUUACUGACAGAAUAAGCACCGUCUAACUUCAUGCCAGCAGCCGCGGUAAUACGAAGGGUGCAAGCGUUAAUCGGAAUUACUGGGCGUAAAGCGCGCGUAGGUGGUUUGUUAAGUAGGAAGUGAAAGCCCCGGGCUCAACCUGGGAACUGCUUUCAAAACUAGCAGGCUAGAGUAUGGCAGAGGGUGGUGGAAUUUCCUGUGUAGCGGUGAAAUGCGUAGAUAUAGGAAGGAACACCAGUGGCGAAGGCGACCAACUGGGCUAAUACUGACACUGAGGUGCGAAAGCGUGGGGAGCAAAC